RNAcentral lists this transfer RNA (69 nucleotides) under Gadiculus argenteus (silvery cod). RNAcentral describes it as "tRNA-Ala". It matches the Rfam family "tRNA". Rfam says of the family: Transfer RNA (tRNA) molecules are approximately 80 nucleotides in length. Their secondary structure includes four short double-helical elements and three loops (D, anti-codon, and T loops). The record is from RNAcentral. Lineage: Eukaryota; Metazoa; Chordata; Actinopteri; Gadiformes; Gadidae. RNAcentral also lists the same sequence under 1 other name.
AAGGUCUUAGCUUAAUUAAAGUAUUUGUCUUGCAUACAGAAGAUGUGGGGUAAUAUCCCGCAGACCUUA